Molecule: ribosomal RNA, 433 nt
Filed under: uncultured bacterium
Lineage: Bacteria
Description: partial 16S ribosomal RNA
Rfam family: Bacterial small subunit ribosomal RNA
Source: RNAcentral
AACGAACGCUGGCGGCAGGCCUAACACUUGCAAGUCGAGCGCGCCCUUCGGGGUGAGCGGCGGACGGGUGAGUAACGCGUGGGAACGUGCCCUUUUCUACGGAAUAGCCUCGGGAAACUGAGAGUAAUAUCGUAUACGCCCUUUGGGGGAAAGAUUUAUCGGAAAAGGAUCGGCCCGCGUUGGAUUAGGUAGUUGGUGGGGUAAUGGCCUACCAAGCCGACGAUCCAUAGCUGGUUUGAGAGGAUGAUCAGCCACACUGGGACUGAGACACGGCCCAGACUCCUACGGGAGGCAGCAGUGGGGAAUCUUAGACAAUGGGGGCAACCCUGAUCUAGCCAUGCCGCGUGAGUGAUGAAGGCCUUAGGGUUGUAAAGCUCUUUCAGCUGGGAAGAUAAUGACGGUACCAGCAGAAGAAGCCCCGGCUAACUCCGUG